Molecule: ribosomal RNA, 2029 nt
Filed under: Staphylococcus aureus Sau 98
Lineage: Bacteria; Bacillati; Bacillota; Bacilli; Caryophanales; Staphylococcaceae
Description: bacterial LSU rRNA
Rfam family: Bacterial large subunit ribosomal RNA
Source: RNAcentral
UUAAGUUAUUAAGGGCGCACGGUGGAUGCCUUGGCACUAGAAGCCGAUGAAGGACGUUACUAACGACGAUAUGCUUUGGGGAGCUGUAAGUAAGCUUUGAUCCAGAGAUUUCCGAAUGGGGAAACCCAGCAUGAGUUAUGUCAUGUUAUCGAUAUGUGAAUACAUAGCAUAUCAGAAGGCACACCCGGAGAACUGAAACAUCUUAGUACCCGGAGGAAGAGAAAGAAAAUUCGAUUCCCUUAGUAGCGGCGAGCGAAACGGGAAGAGCCCAAACCAACAAGCUUGCUUGUUGGGGUUGUAGGACACUCUAUACGGAGUUACAAAGGACGACAUUAGACGAAUCAUCUGGAAAGAUGAAUCAAAGAAGGUAAUAAUCCUGUAGUCGAAAAUGUUGUCUCUCUUGAGUGGAUCCUGAGUACGACGGAGCACGUGAAAUUCCGUUGGAAUCUGGGAGGACCAUCUCCUAAGGCUAAAUACUCUCUAGUGACCGAUAGUGAACCAGUACCGUGAGGGAAAGGUGAAAAGCACCCCGGAAGGGGAGUGAAAUAGAACCUGAAACCGUGUGCUUACAAGUAGUCAGAGCCCGUUAAUGGGUGAUGGCGUGCCUUUUGUAGAAUGAACCGGCGAGUUACGAUUUGAUGCAAGGUUAAGCAGUAAAUGUGGAGCCGUAGCGAAAGCGAGUCUGAAUAGGGCGUUUAGUAUUUGGUCGUAGACCCGAAACCAGGUGAUCUACCCUUGGUCAGGUUGAAGUUCAGGUAACACUGAAUGGAGGACCGAACCGACUUACGUUGAAAAGUGAGCGGAUGAACUGAGGGUAGCGGAGAAAUUCCAAUCGAACCUGGAGAUAGCUGGUUCUCUCCGAAAUAGCUUUAGGGCUAGCCUCAAGUGAUGAUUAUUGGAGGUAGAGCACUGUUUGGACGAGGGGCCCCUCUCGGGUUACCGAAUUCAGACAAACUCCGAAUGCCAAUUAAUUUAACUUGGGAGUCAGAACAUGGGUGAUAAGGUCCGUGUUCGAAAGGGAAACAGCCCAGACCACCAGCUAAGGUCCCAAAAUAUAUGUUAAGUGGAAAAGGAUGUGGCGUUGCCCAGACAACUAGGAUGUUGGCUUAGAAGCAGCCAUCAUUUAAAGAGUGCGUAAUAGCUCACUAGUCGAGUGACACUGCGCCGAAAAUGUACCGGGGCUAAACAUAUUACCGAAGCUGUGGAUUGUCCUUUGGACAAUGGUAGGAGAGCGUUCUAAGGGCGUUGAAGCAUGAUCGUAAGGACAUGUGGAGCGCUUAGAAGUGAGAAUGCCGGUGUGAGUAGCGAAAGACGGGUGAGAAUCCCGUCCACCGAUUGACUAAGGUUUCCAGAGGAAGGCUCGUCCGCUCUGGGUUAGUCGGGUCCUAAGCUGAGGCCGACAGGCGUAGGCGAUGGAUAACAGGUUGAUAUUCCUGUACCACCUAUAAUCGUUUUAAUCGAUGGGGGGACGCAGUAGGAUAGGCGAAGCGUGCGAUUGGAUUGCACGUCUAAGCAGUAAGGCUGAGUAUUAGGCAAAUCCGGUACUCAUUAAGGCUGAGCUGUGAUGGGGAGAAGACAUUGUGUCUUCGAGUCGUUGAUUUCACACUGCCGAGAAAAGCCUCUAGAUAGAAAAUAGGUGCCCGUACCGCAAACCGACACAGGUAGUCAAGAUGAGAAUUCUAAGGUGAGCGAGCGAACUCUCGUUAAGGAACUCGGCAAAAUGACCCCGUAACUUCGGGAGAAGGGGUGCUCUUUAGGGUUAACGCCCAGAAGAGCCGCAGUGAAUAGGCCCAAGCGACUGUUUAUCAAAAACACAGGUCUCUGCUAAACCGUAAGGUGAUGUAUAGGGGCUGACGCCUGCCCGGUGCUGGAAGGUUAAGAGGAGUGGUUAGCUUCUGCGAAGCUACGAAUCGAAGCCCCAGUAAACGGCGGCCGUAACUAUAACGGUCCUAAGGUAGCGAAAUUCCUUGUCGGGUAAGUUCCGACCCGCACGAAAGGCGUAACGAUUUGGGCACUGUCUCAACGAGAG